Molecule: ribosomal RNA, 514 nt
Filed under: uncultured bacterium
Lineage: Bacteria
Description: bacterial SSU rRNA
Rfam family: Bacterial small subunit ribosomal RNA
Source: RNAcentral
AACUUAGCAGAGAUGCUUGGUGCCUUCGGGAACUCUGAGACAGGUGCUGCAUGGCUGUCGUCAGCUCGUGUUGUGAAAUGUUGGGUUAAGUCCCGCAACGAGCGCAACCCUUAUCCUUUGUUGCCAGCGGUUAGGCCGGGAACUCAAAGGAGACUGCCAGUGAUAAACUGGAGGAAGGUGGGGAUGACGUCAAGUCAUCAUGGCCCUUACGAGUAGGGCUACACACGUGCUACAAUGGCGCAUACAAAGAGAAGCGACCUCGCGAGAGCAAGCGGACCUCAUAAAGUGCGUCGUAGUCCGGAUUGGAGUCUGCAACUCGACUCCAUGAAGUCGGAAUCGCUAGUAAUCGUGGAUCAGAAUGCCACGGUGAAUACGUUCCCGGGCCUUGUACACACCGCCCGUCACACCAUGGGAGUGGGUUGCAAAAGAAGUAGGUAGCUUAACCUUCGGGAGGGCGCUUACCACUUUGUGAUUCAUGACUGGGGUGAAGUCGUAACAAGGUAGGCGUAGUGCU